This is a long non-coding RNA of Cercocebus atys (sooty mangabey), 2693 nucleotides long. RefSeq lists it as uncharacterized. The record is from RefSeq and is a predicted model, not a curated record. NCBI's taxonomy places the organism in Eukaryota, Metazoa, Chordata, Mammalia, Primates, Cercopithecidae. The transcript is spliced from 6 exons.
CUUCAAUGAUCCCUUUCCUGGUCCCUGCCAGACAGUCUCGGCUGCAGUUGGAGAAGGGCACCUGGAGGACGGACAGCACAAAGGUCCAAGCUCUGGUCUUGACCAUCUGAAUUGUAUUUCCUUAUCUGGAAGAGGAGCCAUUGAAGGGUAGAACUGACAAGUUUCCCCCUUGAAACCUGUUUUUCCUUCAACCCUACCCUUGUCUUGAAGUUUUUUCGAGUUGGGGUCCUCCUUGCACUGGACAUGAAAGCAAAUUGCUAUAUAAGUGAAGGACGCACCUGCCACGCCUCAACUUUCUUGAUGUCUGCACAGGAGCCGUUGGUGAAGAGCCCUCUCCCAGGGCGAGGGACAAGACAGCUAGGAGUUUGGAGGCUCCCAGAAGUUUUCUCCCUUGGAGCAGUUCACUCCCUGCAGUGGGGACACAUGUCUACAGAGUGAUUAAUAAAAGAAUAGAAGAAGUGGUGUUUGAAUCUCCAUUUCUGCCUUCUUCAUUGCAGACUUGUAAGAUACAUCUUGGAAGAAGAAAUGACCCGUGCACCAGGUGGUUUUAUGUUUAAAAGGUUCUUGACAUCAGGAGGAGUGUUUCAGUAUGGACAGAUAAUGGCUUACUAGGCUCUUCAGCCAAGGAUCGGAGAUGGAAGAUGAGGGCAGACUGGUCAAUGUGUUCCAUGGGUUCAUGAAGUUACAAAUUCAUGCAAUGAUUUACUCAUUCAAAAACCAUUUAUUGAGCUCUCUAUGUGCUAGAUACUAGGGAGUGCAAGACACUAGGGAAAGAAAGUUGAAAUUUUUGCCUUCAAGGUGCUCAUGGUUUAAAAAGAGACAGAAAGGUGUAUUAUAAGGACGGUGAUCUAAAUGCUAUAAAGAGGCAUGGAUUAAGUAUUGAGGGAGCACAGAGCAAAGAGUGAUAUUCUUUGUCUGGUGAUUGCUGGGAAAGAGAAUUAAGUCAAGACAGGGAUCAGAAACUUCAUGAGGCCAAGGCCUGUCUCUUUUCUUCACCAUUGCUGCCUAGCACCCAGCACAGCACCUGGCACAAAUGAUUCACAAAUAUUUGUUGAAUAAAUGUAUGAAGUGUGCCCAGUAAAGAAGAGAGGCUGGUUGGGCAAUUCCUGGACAGGACAGGGAAGGGGUCACCCCACAAGACUGACGGUUCCUGUAGGCAGAGGCUUCUCCAUGAUCACAGCUGCAUCCUCAGCAUCAAACAAAGAACCUGGUACUAAAUGGAUGCUCUAAAAAUGUCUGUUGAACUUGCUGUUCCAAGAGUAGGUAUGUGGCUAAUCCAAGUUCCGCAGUCAAGACAAGUUAACAGAGGAUAGCAAAACAACGUUAGGAGUGAACACUACCACGUUUCAAUUUUCUUCCAAAUAAAAACCACCCCUACUCUCACCUCUUGGCCUCAACAUUUCUGGAAAUUGUGAAUCUCUAGAGCAGAAUGAUUUUGCUCACAUUUCAAAUAGAGAAAAUGCAGGUGCAGACCUUCUGAACAUAAAAUCACUCAGUAAAUUAAAGGCACAGUAAGCUCAAAGGCUACUACUUCUGAAUUCCUAGAUUGCAGGAAAAAAAUUCUAGGUUGCCUAGGAAAAAGACAGUUAUAAGACCAAAUUUGAUUUCCAGAAGAAUUUAUCUUCAUAAGGACUGAGUGAGUUGCUGAGGACACAGCCCACAGGAAAUUAAGAAACUUCUGGUCCUGAAUUGUUUCCUUCAUGCCUUCAGUCAGCUCUGCUGAUGGAUGUAUGAACACCAACAGAGUUAAUGAAGUGGUUCAUUUGAAAAGCGAAGAUAUGCAACUCAUGUUUUUAUAAACAAAAAUGCCAGAGCCUCAAGUCCUACAUAAAAGAAACAUUUCUGUGGAAUAACGUCCUGGGAUUGCCUCUCCAAAUCAUAAGGAACCCUGACUACCCAGUCUGAUGUCCCAAGAUGUGUCACUAGGAAGUGUUCUGGGGUAAAACAAGUUUGGGAACUAAUGUACACUCUGCCACAGGGGCACAUAUGCUUCCUUAAAGGCUCUGAGAAGUCCCACAAUAAAGAUUAUUGCUUAUUUUGGUAUGGGACAUUUCUUUUCUUCUCUGAAGGACACUUUUCAUGAUGCUGUGAAACACGGGCUUGGAAGUGCUGACUGAGUGGAAAGCAUAAAGUUUGUAACCUGAGAUUCUCCCAUUUGUUUAGGUGUAUCUUUGAAUGGGGAGAUAUGUCUGCCCCUCAAUGGGCAUAGCAAUUUUUGUAAUCCCAGGUAUGAAAUUCCAAAGGGUAUUAUUGGAAAGAAGGACUCAGGUGGGGUGGGUGACUGCUGAUGUAACUUUUAAAUCAUUCUCUGGUCUCGGGCAUACGUUUCUGUUCUCUUCUACUCCGGAGGGAUGGGUUUCUAUCGUACAUAGAAAGUUGUACACUGAGCCUUUCCCCAACCACUUGCAACUCUCCUGACCUCAUACAGUGUCUCUGUCUGAGGACCACCGGGGACAUGUGGUGGUGUGCUGGCAAACUGGCUUCUAAAAGAAAAACAAGUCCUGACUUGCAGUGUUUGCUAAAUAUUCCCACUAUGGUCAAUUUCAAGCUAUCAAUGGUUUAACAACAUAUUUGUAAAAAUUCUGGAUAUUUAACCAUUGACUCUCAAGAGCUGAUAGAAGCUGUUCUAACACAUCAUGGGGACAUCUUUCUAAGCACACAGAAAUUCUCGUUUUCUUUGGAAAACCUGACCA